AUUAAGUAUAUAUUUAAUCAAAUUGCGUUUGAGCUCAAAGAAAUAGGCCUAUAUAUUAAUCUCCAACAUAAAGUGUAUUUAUAUUUUAAAUUUUAUAGUCGAUAUUUAGAUCUAUAGCCGUUCAAUAAAACAUUAGCCUACUACGGAUUUUGAAUUCGAGUUCGAUCUAUAUUAUCGUGAUUUUUCAUGAACGUCAUUCACACUUUCCUUCUCUAUACUAACCGAUCCAUUAGUGUUUAAACUUAAAACGGGCAAAAUUGAAUGUGCCAUGGCAGACAAAUUCAAUUCUAAAUGUUAUUUUUGAAAUAUUUUAUUGUAUUUAUUAUACUAUCGUCCUAUUAUUACGUAAGGGGAUUUUGUACCAGGUGUGCCUUGCAAUUGGAAAUGUGCCCAAUCUGUAGAUCUGAAAUCAAGUCAAGAUUGGAAAUGACAUGAUCAAAAACUACAAGAUGUCAACGAUUACCUCGCAAGUAUCAUCAGACGAUUGAGUCAUAUAUCUUUCCAGUGGAAACUCAGACAACCUCACUGCUUCACAUAUAGGAAGUUACAAUCAUUUAUGGAUGAUGUCGAAGGAUCCGUGAAGUCGAAAAGAAAGAAAAGAAAAAUCCGUUCAAAAAUGACAUCAGUUUACUUUCUUUAUACUUAUUGUUUUCUCCUAAAAUAAUAGGAAAUUUUGUUAAUAAAGCACGACUGAUUUAUUGUUUGCUUUUAUAUCACGAAUGUUACUACUAUCUUCGAACACUAUCAUCAUUCAGCCAUAAUAUUUAAUUCUUUUUAUCAUUUUAAGAAUCUGGAUACAAAUUCCGGUCUCGUUUGUAUGAUUUAUACAAUGUUAUCGUUGUCCAUCAUACGGAACCGAUAUUAAUAGAAUAAUGAAUGAUAUGUUCUUAUUACAAAAUUUCGAAAAAUUUAUAUUUUUAUUAUUUAUUUAUUUUGAUUUUAAAAUUAAAUU
This is a long non-coding RNA of Centruroides sculpturatus (bark scorpion), 952 nucleotides long. RefSeq lists it as uncharacterized. The transcript is spliced from 3 exons. The record is from RefSeq and is a predicted model, not a curated record. NCBI's taxonomy places the organism in Eukaryota, Metazoa, Arthropoda, Arachnida, Scorpiones, Buthidae.